RNAcentral lists this ribosomal RNA (517 nucleotides) under Simulium griseum. Its description in RNAcentral is "partial 16S ribosomal RNA". It matches the Rfam family "Bacterial large subunit ribosomal RNA", at positions 1819 to 2600 of the family's 2925-position model. The record is from RNAcentral. Lineage: Eukaryota; Metazoa; Arthropoda; Insecta; Diptera; Simuliidae.
GUCUUUUUGGUUAUUUAAUAUAAAGUCUGACCUGCCCACUGAAUUAUAUUUUGAAGGGCCGCAGUAUUUUGACUGUGCAAAGGUAGCAUAAUCAUUAGUCUUUUAAUUGAAGGCUGGUAUGAAUGGUUGGAUGAGGUACAAGCUGUGUCAUAAAAAUUAAUAUUUGAAUUUAACUUUUUAGUCAAAAGGCUAAAAUUUAAUUAAAAGACGAGAAGACCCUAUAGAGCUUUAUAUAAUGAUUAUUUAAUUUAUUAAGAUUUAUUAAAUUUAAUUACUUUAUUAUAUUUUGUUGGGGUGACAAUAAAAUUUAUAAAACUUUUAUUUUUAUUUUACAUUUAUUUAUGAGUACAUGAUCCAGUUUUAUUGAUUAUAAAUUUAAGUUACCUUAGGGAUAACAGCGUAAUUUUUUUUGAGAGUUCAUAUCGACAAAAAAGAUUGCGACCUCGAUGUUGGAUUAAGAGUAAUUUUGGGUGUAGAAGUUCAAAGUUUAAGUCUGUUCGACUUUUAAAUUCUUACG